GACGAACGCUGGCGGCGUGCUUAACACAUGCAAGUCGAACGGUGAUGCUCCAGCUUGCUGGAGUGGAUCAGUGGCGAACGGGUGAGUAACACGUGAGCAACCUGCCCCAGACUCUGGAAUAAGCGCUGGAAACGGCGUCUAAUACUGGAUACGAAACUGGCCCGCAUGGGCAUGGUUUGGAAAGUUUUUCGGUUUGGGAUGGGCUCGCGGCCUAUCAGCUUGUUGGUGAGGUAAUGGCUCACCAAGGCGACGACGGGUAGCCGGCCUGAGAGGGCGACCGGCCACACUGGGACUGAGACACGGCCCAGACUCCUACGGGAGGCAGCAGUGGGGAAUAUUGCACAAUGGGCGAAAGCCUGAUGCAGCGACGCCGCGUGGGGGAUGACGGCCUUCGGGUUGUAAACCUCUUUCAGCAGGGAAGAAGCGAAAGUGACGGUACCUGCAGAAGAAGCACCGGCUAACUACGUG
Molecule: ribosomal RNA, 468 nt
Filed under: uncultured bacterium
Lineage: Bacteria
Description: partial 16S ribosomal RNA
Rfam family: Bacterial small subunit ribosomal RNA
Source: RNAcentral